RNAcentral lists this ribosomal RNA (732 nucleotides) under Lentilactobacillus buchneri. RNAcentral's name for it is "bacterial SSU rRNA". It matches the Rfam family "Bacterial small subunit ribosomal RNA", at positions 61 to 749 of the family's 1533-position model. Lineage: Bacteria; Bacillati; Bacillota; Bacilli; Lactobacillales; Lactobacillaceae. The record is from RNAcentral.
GUCGAACGCGUCUCCGUUAAUGAUUUUAGGUGCUUGCACUUGAAAGAUUUAACAUUGAGACGAGUGGCGAACUGGUGAGUAACACGUGGGUAACCUGCCCUUGAAGUAGGGGAUAACACUUGGAAACAGGUGCUAAUACCGUAUAACAACCAAAACCACCUGGUUUUGGUUUAAAAGACGGCUUCGGCUGUCACUUUAGGAUGGACCCGCGGCGUAUUAGCUUGUUGGUAAGGUAACGGCCUACCAAGGCGAUGAUACGUAGCCGACCUGAGAGGGUAAUCGGCCACAUUGGGACUGAGACACGGCCCAAACUCCUACGGGAGGCAGCAGUAGGGAAUCUUCCACAAUGGACGAAAGUCUGAUGGAGCAACGCCGCGUGAGUGAUGAAGGGUUUCGGCUCGUAAAACUCUGUUGUUGGAGAAGAACAGGUGUCAGAGUAACUGUUGACAUCUUGACGGUAUCCAACCAGAAAGCCACGGCUAACUACGUGCCAGCAGCCGCGGUAAUACGUAGGUGGCAAGCGUUGUCCGGAUUUAUUGGGCGUAAAGCGAGCGCAGGCGGUUUUUUAGGUCUGAUGUGAAAGCCUUCGGCUUAACCGGAGAAGUGCAUCGGAAACCGGGAGACUUGAGUGCAGAAGAGGACAGUGGAACUCCAUGUGUAGCGGUGAAAUGCGUAGAUAUAUGGAAGAACACCAGUGGCGAAGGCGGCUGUCUGGUCUGUAACUGACGCUGA